This 197-nucleotide ribosomal RNA is filed under the name uncultured bacterium. Its description in RNAcentral is "partial 16S ribosomal RNA". It matches the Rfam family "Bacterial small subunit ribosomal RNA", at positions 328 to 539 of the family's 1533-position model. The record is from RNAcentral.
ACGCUCGACACCUACUGGAGGCAGCAGUGGGGAAUAUUGCACAAUGGGGGAAACCCUGAUGCAGCGACGCCGCGUGGAGGAAGAAGGUCUUCGGAUUGUAAACUCCUGUUGUUGGGGAAAAAGAGGAUGGUACCCAACAAGGAAGUGACGGCUAACUACGUCGCACAGCCGCGGUAAUCUGAGCGGGCUGGCAAGGC